AGAACGAUUUGAUAGCUGUCUUGCACACACAUCAYGGUAAAAUAUUCAUCAGUACAAAUAAUAUGCUGSUGACACUAAAGGACAAAAAGACCCUUUGAAGCUUUAUAGGGAUAAAACUCACCUUUAAAUCAACAAACAAUGAAAUCCAUCUUGUUGCUUCUCCGCUUUUUAAAUUGCUAAAGCCUUACAAGAUUUACAACAUCAAGACCACUGUUUAAUUGGGGCGAUAACCUUAUCCACAGCCACCUAAGGUGAACAAAGCGAUACAAGGAUCCUAAAUACUAAUUUGACCAACUAAUAAGUGCAAAGAUACAUGUUUUGCUUAAUGGCCCAACAAGUCCUUCCCAGUACUUAAAUGCUAUCUUAAUGAGCUUUAAAUUAAUUUACCAG
Molecule: ribosomal RNA, 390 nt
Filed under: Breviolum minutum
Lineage: Eukaryota; Dinophyceae; Suessiales; Symbiodiniaceae
Description: partial large subunit ribosomal RNA
Source: RNAcentral